RNAcentral lists this transfer RNA (74 nucleotides) under Streptococcus vaginalis. Its description in RNAcentral is "tRNA-Asn". It matches the Rfam family "tRNA". From Rfam's summary of the family: Transfer RNA (tRNA) molecules are approximately 80 nucleotides in length. Their secondary structure includes four short double-helical elements and three loops (D, anti-codon, and T loops). The record is from RNAcentral. Lineage: Bacteria; Bacillati; Bacillota; Bacilli; Lactobacillales; Streptococcaceae.
UCCGGCAUAGCUCAGUUGGUAGUAGCGCAUGACUGUUAAUCAUGAUGUCGUAGGUUCAAGUCCUACUGCCGGAG